AUUGAACGCUGGCGGCAGGCCUAACACAUGCAAGUCGAACGAGUGGCGGACGGGUGAGUAAUUUCUGGGAAACUGCCUGAUGGAGGGGGAUAACUACUGGAACCGGUAGCUAAUACCGCAUACCAUCGGAUGUGCCCAGAUGGGAUUAGCUAGUAGGUGGGGUAAAGGCUCACCUAGGCGACAAUCCCUAACUGGUCUGAGAGGAUGACAAGCAACAUCGGAAGUGAGAAACGUUCCAGACUACGACGGUAGGCAGCAGGGGGUAAUAUUGCACAAGGGGCGCAAGCCUGAUGCAGCGAUGCCGCGUGUAUGAAGAAGGCCUUCGGGUUGUAAAGUACUUUCAGCGGGGAGGGGUUACCCGCAGAAGAAGCACCGGCUAACUCCGUGCCAGCAGCCGCGGUAAUUC
This 406-nucleotide ribosomal RNA is filed under the name uncultured bacterium. Its description in RNAcentral is "partial 16S ribosomal RNA". It matches the Rfam family "Bacterial small subunit ribosomal RNA", at positions 30 to 526 of the family's 1533-position model. The record is from RNAcentral.